ACUGGGCAAAGUGGUGCAUGCCUGUAAUCCCAACCUCUCAGGAGGCUGAGACAGGAGAAUUGCAAGUUCAAAGCCAGCCUCAGCAAAACUGAAGUGCUAAGCAACUCAAUGAGACCCUGUCUCUA
This 125-nucleotide small RNA is filed under the name Marmota monax (woodchuck). The record is from RNAcentral. Lineage: Eukaryota; Metazoa; Chordata; Mammalia; Rodentia; Sciuridae.